UUGCCCAUGAAGGUGGAUGCAGUGAUCCUGCUGUGAUGGCAGUGCACCAGCAGUUCCACUUCAGCUGGAUGCAGUGUCCCUGCAGUGCUUGCAGUGCCCCCCACAUUGUCUGGGAAUGUGGAUGCAGUAGUCAUGCAGUGGAUGCAGUGUCCCACAAGGUGGAUGCAGUAUAUUGUGACGGAGGAUGCAGGGCCCAUGAAGGAGGAUGCAGUGAUCCUGCAGUGGUUACAGUGCACCCUGCUGUGUCGAUGAAUGUGGAUGCUGUGAACAUGCAGUGGAUGCAGUGAUCCUGCAGUGAUUGCAGUGCACCUGCAUUUCCACAUCACCUGGAAGCAGUGUUCCUGCAGGGGUUGCAGUGCCACCUUCUCUGUCCCUGAAGGUGAAUGCAGUGCCCAUGCAGUGGAUACAGUGUACCUAAAGUUUUAUGCAGUAUGUUGUGACGGAGGAUGCAGUGACCAUGAAGGUUGAUGCAGUGUCCCUACUCUGGAUGCAGUGCCCAUGGCAUUUUCCUGGAUUUUGCAUGCAGUGGUCAAGCAGUGUAUGCAGUGUCUCACACAGUGGAUGCAGUAUGUUUUGUUGGAGGCUGUAGUGCCCAUGAAGGUGGAAGCGGUGAACCUGCAGUGGGUGCAGUGUCCACAACAGUUUCCUUGAAUGUAUAUGCAGUGCCCACGAAGGUGGAUGCAGUGAGCCUGCAUUGAUUGCAGUGCACCUGCAGUGUCAAUUUAUCUGGAUGCAGUGUCCCUAAUGUGGAUUCAGUGCUCAUGCAGUGAUGAUGUAUGUUGUGAUGGAGGAUGCAGUGCCAGUGAAGGCAGAUGCAGUGAUCCAGCAGUGAUUGCAGUGCAUCUGCAGAGCUUCUUCAGGUGGAUCCAGUGUCCCUGCAGUGGUUGCCAUGCCUGUUGCACUGUCCCUGAAUGUGGCUGCAGUGCCCAUGCAAUGGCUGCAGUGUCACUGAAGGUAUAUGAAGUAUGUUGUGUUGGAGGAAGCAGUGUCCAUGAAGGUGGAUCAGUGAUCCUGCAGUGGUUGCAGUGCCCUCUGCAGGGUCCCUGAAUGAGAAUGCCGUGCCCCUGCAGUGGAUUCAGUGCCCCACAAGGUGGAUGCACUAUGUUAUGACGGAUGAUGCCUUGCCCAUGAAGGAGGAUGCAGUGAUUCUGCAGUGAUUGCAGUGCACCUGCAGUGACACUUCAGCUGGCUGCAGUGUGCCUGCAGUGGUUGCAGUGCCCCCUUCUGUGUCUCUGAAUGCGAAUGCAGUGCCCAUGCAGUGUAUGCAGAGUACCAAAGAUGGAUGUGGUAUGUUGUGACAGAGGAUGCAGUGCCCAUGACGGUGCAUGCAGUGUUCCUGCACUGGUUGUCGUGCCCCCUUCCGUGUCCUUGAUUGUGGAUGCAGUGCCCAUGCAAUGGAUGCAGUGUCCCACAAGGCAGAUGCAGUGUGUUGUAAUGUGGGAUUCAGUGCCCAUGAAUGUGGAUGCGGUGAUCCUGCAGUUGUUGCCG
Long non-coding RNA from Equus caballus (horse), 1488 nucleotides. The record is from Ensembl. Lineage: Eukaryota; Metazoa; Chordata; Mammalia; Perissodactyla; Equidae.